AAACAUACAUAUACUCACACAGCUGCAUUAUGUAUAUGUUAAUGCGUCUUUGUGCAUGUGUGUGUGUGUGUAUAUAUAUACACAUGCAUACACAAAUACAGGAAUGAA
This 108-nucleotide microRNA precursor is filed under the name Lepisosteus oculatus (spotted gar). RNAcentral's name for it is "miRNA (ENSLOCG00000019328.1)". The record is from RNAcentral. Lineage: Eukaryota; Metazoa; Chordata; Actinopteri; Semionotiformes; Lepisosteidae.